UGGCUCUUCUGUCUUCCAGAGUCAUCCUGUGGUAUCUGUGGGGGAGGAGCUAAGAGCUAGGCCUUCCAUGAUGUCGAUGAUGUAAUGGUGGCAGGUAAGGGUGAGAAGCAUGCCUCCUUUUAGGAGGGUGGGUGGUCCUGCGUCUCAUAGUCCUUCCCAUGGCCAGAGCCCUUCUGCCUCUGAGGAGGCCUGGGAGCCAGAAGCAGAGGUUUGCUGUGUAUGGCCUCAGUGGAGGAGGAUGAGAACAGUUUGAACCCCCUCCUAGUGGAGGCUCUGGUGGGGGGGGGAUCAUCACCUCACACAGAUAUGAACCUGACCUAUAGAGUGAUGAUGCUGGGUGUCCAGGGGUGAACGGCAGAGAGAUGGUCCCACCCUCUGAGAUCUUCGAGUACGAAAACACGUCACCACAACUCAGCAAGCAGACAGCUCUGCGCAUCUCCAGACCCUGACCUGCCUUGGAGCCUUGGGGAUCCCUUGGAUUCUGACCUCAUGGAACUGGCGAGCAACCUGAAGAUCCUGUCCUCCCCAGUACCUGAGACGGAGCUCCCUGAAGAAGUAUUCCUGGAAGAUAUACAGCUUAGGAUUCACCCUGCCUUUGAUGGACAGCUCCAGGGUUGGGGGAGGCUGCAGUUUAGAGCCCUGGGGCACUGCAGGCCCCCUCCUCAUUCCAGUCUCUGGAGAUGGGGUAGAGCUAGGCUCCCUCCUGGCCACAGGGUGGUGUCUCAAAGGACCAGUGGGUAGGGCAGGGACUCCAUGGGCAUGGAAGAGGGGCUGCUGAGGAGGGGCCCAAUGUCUGUCUUUUGUCUGUUUUUCUUUUCUUUUUC
Molecule: long non-coding RNA, 824 nt
Organism: Rattus rattus (black rat)
Lineage: Eukaryota; Metazoa; Chordata; Mammalia; Rodentia; Muridae
Exons: 2
Source: RefSeq, a predicted model, not a curated record